CGGCCCUCGGCUGACGGCUCAGUNACACGCGGAUAAUCUGCCCUUAGGUGGAGGAUAAUCUCGGGAAACUGAGAAUAAUAUUCCAUAGAUUUAGGAUGCUGGAAUGCACUUAAAUUAAAAGCUUCGGCGCCUAAGGAUGAGUCUGCGGACUAUCAGGUUGUAGUCAGGGUAACGACCUGACUAGCCUACGACGGAUACGGGUUGUGAGAGCAAUAACCCGGAGAUGAUAUCUGAGACACGAUAUCAGGCCCUACGGGGCGCAGCAGGCGCGAAAACUUCGCAAUGUGCGAAAGCACGACGAGGGAAUCCCAAGUGCUGGCUCGUUAGAGUCAGCUGUUUUUAUGUCUAAAAAGCAUAGAGAGUAAGGGCUGGGUAAGACGGGUGCCAGCCGCCGCGGUAA
This 400-nucleotide ribosomal RNA is filed under the name uncultured archaeon. RNAcentral describes it as "bacterial SSU rRNA". It matches the Rfam family "Archaeal small subunit ribosomal RNA", at positions 72 to 473 of the family's 1478-position model. The record is from RNAcentral.